This 253-nucleotide ribosomal RNA is filed under the name uncultured bacterium. Its description in RNAcentral is "partial 16S ribosomal RNA". It matches the Rfam family "Bacterial small subunit ribosomal RNA", at positions 524 to 776 of the family's 1533-position model. The record is from RNAcentral.
GACGUAGGGGGCCAGCGUUGCUCGGAAUUACUGGGCGUAAAGGGUUCGUAGGCGGUGCGGUAAGUCGGAAGUGAAAUCUCUGGGCUUAACUCAGAGGCUGCUUUCGAAACUGCCGCGCUAGAGUGCGGGAGAGGCGAGUGGAAUUGCGGGUGUAGCGGUGAAAUGCGUAGAUAUCCGCAGGAACAUCCGAGGCGAAAGCGGCUGGCUGGAUCGCAACUGACGCUGAGGAACGAAAGCUAGGGGAGCAAACAGG